GAUGAACGCUGGCGGCGUGCCUAAUACAUGCAAGUCGAGCGAACAGACGAGGAGCUUGCUCCUCUGACGUUAGCGGCGGACGGGUGAGUAACACGUGGAUAACCUACCUAUAAGACUGGGAUAACUUCGGGAAACCGGAGCUAAUACCGGAUAAUAUAUUGAACCGCAUGGUUCAAUAGUGAAAGACGGUUUUGCUGUCACUUAUAGAGGGAUCCGCGCCGCAUUAGCUAGUUGGUAAGGUAACGGGUUUUCAAGGCAACGAUGCGUAAGAGACAUGAUAGGGUGGUCGGCCACACUGGAACGGAGACACGGUCCAGAGUGAUACGGAAGGCACCCGUAGGGAAUCUUCCGCAAGAGGCGAAAGCUUGACGGAGCAACGCGGCGUGAGUGAUGAAGGUCGUCGGAUCGUAAAACUCGGUUAUUAGGGAAGAACAAAUGUGUAAGUGACUAUGAACGUCUUGACGGUACCUAAGUAGAAAGCCACGGCUAACUACGUGC
RNAcentral lists this ribosomal RNA (498 nucleotides) under uncultured bacterium. RNAcentral's name for it is "partial 16S ribosomal RNA". It matches the Rfam family "Bacterial small subunit ribosomal RNA", at positions 28 to 508 of the family's 1533-position model. The record is from RNAcentral.